Molecule: ribosomal RNA, 301 nt
Filed under: uncultured bacterium
Lineage: Bacteria
Description: partial 16S ribosomal RNA
Rfam family: Bacterial small subunit ribosomal RNA
Source: RNAcentral
CAGCCGCCACGGGAAUACGUAGGGUGCGAGCGUUAAUCGGAAUUACUGGGCGUAAAGCGUGCGCAGGCGGUUGUGUAAGACAGGUGUGAAAUCCCCGGGCUUAACCUGGGAACUGCGCUUGUGACUGCACAGCUAGAGUAUGGCAGAGUGGGGUGGAAUUCCACGUGUAGCAGUGAAAUGCGUAGAGAUGUGGAGGAACACCGAUGGCGAAGGCAGCCCCCUGGGCCAAUACUGACGCUCAUGCACGAAAGCGUGGGGAGCAAACAGGAUUAGAUACCCCCGUAGUCCCUGUCUCUUAUAC